RNAcentral lists this long non-coding RNA (276 nucleotides) under Pan troglodytes (chimpanzee). RNAcentral describes it as "long non-coding RNA NONPTRT004503". Lineage: Eukaryota; Metazoa; Chordata; Mammalia; Primates; Hominidae. The record is from RNAcentral.
ACCAUGGGGCCAGGGCCACUGCCAGGAGAUGGGGGAAAGGUGGCAUUGGCAAUUUUAGGCUGCCUUUACUAAUGUCUUCAAUGCCUCUUUCUGUGAUAUGAAGAUAAAACCAGGAUAUUACACCUUCAUACUUCACACAAUCUUCUAAGACUAAAUGAAAUGGAGAUUGUAUUUCAUCUCUUCAUCUUAUUUCAACAUCCUCUACAAGCCUAUUUCCCAGUCUGUGGAAUAAGCAAGAUAAGACGACAGUUCCCUCUGGAGUGUAUCAAAACCUGC